This 440-nucleotide ribosomal RNA is filed under the name uncultured bacterium. Its description in RNAcentral is "partial 16S ribosomal RNA". It matches the Rfam family "Bacterial small subunit ribosomal RNA", at positions 338 to 795 of the family's 1533-position model. The record is from RNAcentral.
CCUACGGGUGGCAGCAGUGGGGAAUAUUGCACAAUGGGGGAAACCCUGAUGCCGCGACGCCGCGUGAGCGAAGAAGUAUUUUGGUAUGUAAAGCUCUAUCAGCAGGGAAGAAAAUGACGGUACCUGACUAAGAAGAUCCGGCUAAAUACGUGCCAGUAGCCGCGGUAAUACGUAUGGAGCAAGCGCUAUCCGGAUUUACUGGGUGGAAAGGGAGCGUAGGCGGUAAGGGAAGUCUGAUGUGAAAGGCCAGGGCUCAACCCUGGGACUGCAUUGGAGAGUGUUUAACUGGUGGGUCGGAGAGGCAAGUGGAAUUCCUAGUGUAGCGGUGAAAGGCGUAGAUAUUAGGAGGAACACCAGUGGCGAAGGCGGCUUGCUGGACGAUGACUGACGCUGAGGCUCGAAAGCGUGGGGAGCAAAAAGGAUUAGAUACCCUGGUAGUC